CUUGCUUUGAACUUUGAAAUAAAUAUAAGGGAGAAUAUAUUUUUGAAAAAACUUAGAAUAAUUCAUCAAAAGACUACUUUAGUAACAUUUCACCCUUUCAUUAUGCAAAAACAAAAAUUAAAUAUUGAAUUGCUUAAUUUUUUGAAUUAAUUUCCAUAUGCAUGUUCUACGAAUUUUCAAAUAUUCUACCUUUUAUUAAAUUCAAGGAAAAAGGACAUAUUUUAAAAAUUGGACCGGGCAUCCCAAUGGACUGACCCGACCCAAAUAGUCAUCCGCCCUAAAAGGGAAUUUGAUGUUUUCUUUAGGGUUUCAGAGGAAACCCUCGCGCCGCCUCAUGAUUUUCUCUUUCUUCUGUCCAUCUUUCACCAUUUUUGGCAAGAAUACAGAGGAGCAGGCUACCCUUUACUUUAUUGUAUUACAUUUUGGGAGAGCAUUAAUGGUGUUCGCUAUUUCUGAGCUUUUUCUUUACAAAAAACAAAGGCCUAGCUCAAUCCAUACUAAGGCAUGUUUGGAGUAAUCAUGAAUGAGCAAGGGAAGCAAAUAUUGUUUGAAGACCCAGCUAUGGGUGAAAAUAGCCUAGUGGGUAUUCGGGUAGCCCACUAGUGAAGAGAUUUACUUUUUAUGUAUAUGUCAUUGUAUGUAUUGUAACAUAAACUCAUAUAUACUGGAACUCCCUUUAUGAUUGGUUAGAUAAGCCAUAGAAGUUUAGGAUAAGUAAAAAAUAAAAUGAAUCACCAACUUCAUUUUUUCUAAAACUGAUUCAUCUUUAAAAAUCCUUGUCUCGGAUAACUUUUUUUUUCACAAAACAAGAUGAACCAUCUUCUUCAAAAUUGGACUUGCGUUUUUAGAUUCAUGAUUGUCCCCUCCCCUCCUUUGUAAAACAAUUUAGUUGUUAUUUUAAAACAAUCAACAAGACUGCUUUGAUUACACUUUUAAA
Long non-coding RNA from Lycium barbarum (goji berry), 937 nucleotides. RefSeq lists it as uncharacterized. Lineage: Eukaryota; Viridiplantae; Streptophyta; Magnoliopsida; Solanales; Solanaceae. The record is from RefSeq and is a predicted model, not a curated record. The transcript has 2 exons.